This is a long non-coding RNA of Callithrix jacchus (white-tufted-ear marmoset), 2265 nucleotides long. RefSeq lists it as uncharacterized. NCBI's taxonomy places the organism in Eukaryota, Metazoa, Chordata, Mammalia, Primates, Cebidae. The record is from RefSeq and is a predicted model, not a curated record.
CUGCCUCUGGAGUGAUUGAUCUUUGACUCUGACAUUGGAUUGGCUACUUGGUCCACGACUGAGAGUUACAGAGCCCCCUCCUCCCGGAGCUUUCCACGGGUUUCUUGGGACAAUAGAGCCCACCUGGCUUUCCCCAGCUAGCGGGCAAGUGGAGAAACCCAGACAAAGAACUUUACAUUUGAAACCCCUCUGCUUCCUAGAUGAAGACGUGGAGGCUGGGAAACUCCUGCCUUUGAAACCAAGCCUCUUGGACCCAGGAAGAGUCUGGUUCCCGGAUGGAGGCAUGGAGCCAUGGAGAAGUCCCUAUGACAAAGAUGAAGACCUUUAUGAUGAUUCGUUACCACUUAAUGAACGCCAUCCACAUAAGAUGUGACUUGGUCCUCUUUGCCUUCCGUCAUGAUUGUGAGGCCUCCCUAGCCAUGUGGAACUAUUAGUUCUGCCUUGAAGACAGUUCACAACCUCAGACUACCCUUUGGUCUUGUGAGCCACAGUCAUUACAGAAAAAUGAUCAACAUCAUGAUGUGUCCAUGGUUAUUUCAUUGAGUCUGGCCAAUACUUAACAUUUCAAGGGUAGAAUCUGCAUGAGAGCAAAAUGGAAGUCCCGAUUCUGAUUGCAAACCAGAAUUGCUGUAGACAGGCUUACAUCAUUCCAGAUUAAAUGCUGCCUGGAGACCCACAUCUACUCUGUUAUCUCUUUGAGCUAUGAAAACGUAACCUUUUCCCACUCAGCCAUGGCGUGCGGGAGCCACUAUCAGCACCUACAGAAAUCAACACUUGUGCCAAGGAAAAGAAUGUCUGCACCCUAAAAUUAACCUACGCUAAGAUCAAAGUAGAAACAAUAAGAUCAGCAUCAAUCUUGCCUUUUUCUUUAUAACACUCAAAUAGGCCUCUUUUCUUUUGCAGAAAAUUGGCUUUUUUUUUUCUUAAUGCAAGUCCUAUGCAUUAAAAUAAAGAGCAACAUAGAAAAUAGUAAUUUAUCUGACAAUGGGAAAUGGUUGAUUUUUAUAAUGCUUCAAAGGAUCACCAUUCAGAAACAAAGGAGUCAGUCAGUUACAGAAUGUGAGUCUAGAUGCAAUUAAACAAAAUAAGAGCUCCCAUAAGAUUCUCAGCCCCAAACACUAAGAAAAUCUUUUCAUCAUAGUCUCUCAGAUUCCUUCCAUAAGGUGUAUUUGAAAAAUAUUAACAGAAAACUUCUUACCUUCAGCAACACAUUUUGUAAUUCAGUUGCACUUAAAUCUAUAAUGUUAUAAAGGGCAUUGUUUGGUUUAAAAAAAUGUUAAAACAAGUUAAAUAUCCCUUUGACACUGAGCUUAAUACAAAAAACUGUAUGAAAACAGGCUCCAUGUAAAUGUUUUCUUUUUUUCCUUUUUGUCCUCUGUCAUAAGGGAGAUGAGAAGGCAAAAUGGAUCGAGUGGAGGUAGACAGGCCACAGGCAUGGAGAAGUGGAGCUGUGUAGGAGUAAAAGGAAGGAAAAUAGGAAAAGGAAGUAGAGCAAGUGCACUGAGAUAAAAACCGGGGGAGGAUGUACAGUAAUACAUGGGAAGUGGAGUAAGGAAGAAAGAAAAUCCUAUUGAUCUCUUCAUUUCUUUUUCCUAAUGGUUUAGGAGAUCAUUUUAGGACUUAUGAGAGCUGGAGUUGGUUAAAUUUUCAAGCAAUGGAAUUGUGAGUUUUAAAAUUGCAAACGUUGGCAGUUAAAAAGAAGAACCAGUUUUAAAGAAGGGCAGAAGGCCAGUUUUUUUUUUUAAGUACAUCAUCUGGUUAUGAGGAUAUGAUAGUUAAAAGGGAAAGCCAGCAUUUCCAAAGAAGGGUGCAGAAAGAUACAUGGUAUAGAAAGUCUGCCACCUACAAGGAAAAUCUGGAGAAUAAAUAAUUUCUGGGUAUGUUAAUUAAGUCUGGUCUUGUUCUAAGGUUUUCCAGCUAAUUUGCCAGGCUGCUGAAAUGGUAAUAUGAAUAAGAUGUAAUUAUUGGUUUUCCCACUGAGAAUUACAGGCUUAUUGAGAUGAAAGGAAGGCAUCAUAAUGAUCACAAAGCUUAAAAUCCUUUAAGUCACAAACCUAAGUGCUUACUGAGGUCAGAGACAUGAAUGCUUAAGGGGACCCAGUGGGUACUGUGGCAAUCAAGAGAGUUUCUGCCCCAUGUAAAAGGACAGCACCACUGAGUUUUCGUUGCUUUGCCAUGUGGGCACCCAUGCUCUGAAUAGGCAGAUAUAAUUUCGCAUGAGGGGCUGGUUUAAUGUUCAAGAUUAUUUGACUUGAAGCAAGAAGA